Molecule: long non-coding RNA, 1096 nt
Filed under: Phaseolus vulgaris (common bean)
Lineage: Eukaryota; Viridiplantae; Streptophyta; Magnoliopsida; Fabales; Fabaceae
Description: long non-coding RNA (PVUL_LNC002662)
Source: RNAcentral
AAAGAUACUCAAGGUGGUGAAGGAAAGAAAGAAAAGUUCUUUUCAUCAGAAGGACUUGCUGCAAAUGAUUUUUGAAAAUGUUAAGGAUAGUAACCUAAGUAAAAAUGCCAUUGAAAAUUUUGUUGUUGAUAACUGCAAGAAUAUGUACUUGGCCGGUUUUGAGUCAACUGCAGUUGCAGCUACAUGGUGCCUGAUGCUGUUGGCCUCAAACCAAGAUUGGCAAGAUCGUGUUCGCACUGAGGUGCUGGAAAUUUGCAAUGGAAGAAUCCCAGAUUUAGGUAUGCUUGGUAAGAUGAAGCAGGUAAGAUCCUUUGGCAACAUACACUACAAAAACAAGUUAUAUACUAGUGGUUUCAAAUUGAGUUAGCCUCCCCAAUGAUAUAUCCUUUAGCAUAACAAAGUUGUUGUUCUAUACUAACAGUAUGCCAUGUAUUAUAUCCUCUCAACAACUGGUUUGUUGAACUCAGAAUUUUCCGUAACAGCAAAAGAACAACAUAAAUUAAAGAGAGAGAGGACUAGAAAAGAACAAGCAAAGAAACAUAUUAUUGCAUCAUGCCAAAGUGAGGCAAAAAAGGUAUAUACACAAUAAAAAGAAAAACAAACAGACAAAACCAUCUCUUAACAAAUUAGACGGUCUAGUGUAAAUAAAUGAUACAUCAAACUAUUAUUCUAAACUCAUAAUGCCUGUACUAACAAAUUGAUUUCUAUUAGAUAAAGUAAUAACUGCUAUGCUAUAAUGGAAGCAAUUCGAAUGCCUAAUUAUUUUUCAUAGUGAUAUUACAAUGUAUAUUAUUUUCAUAUUAAGAUAUUGAGAAUUUGAAAAUACCAUCAACCAUAACUUGCAUUUAUUGUGGCAGCUAGCAAUGGUUAUUCAUGAAGCACUGCGCCUUUAUCCUCCUGUGACUGUGGUGUCAAGAGAAUUCUUGAAGGACAUGAAAUUUGGGAACCUUGAUGUUCCCAAAGGGUUUAACCUUUGGAUAAUGAUAGUAAGUUUGCAUUCAAAUCCAGAUAUAUGGGGAGAUGAUGCCUACAAAUUCAAGCCAGAAAGAUUUGCCAAUGGAACCAUAGGUUCUUGUAAGUUGCCACACGUCUACAU